Long non-coding RNA from Octopus sinensis (East Asian common octopus), 145 nucleotides. RefSeq lists it as uncharacterized. Lineage: Eukaryota; Metazoa; Mollusca; Cephalopoda; Octopoda; Octopodidae. The transcript has 3 exons. The record is from RefSeq and is a predicted model, not a curated record.
AAAUUAAGAGUGGCUCAACUCAUGUAUUCUUUCAGGAAUAGAAAUCUAAUUAAUUCAACAGGCCUCAGUAAAUAUAUUUGGGCACGUAAAUCUAAAUAUAUUAACUAUAAAUUAACUUGGGAGAAAGAUAGGAGGAGCGUCGUGU